RNAcentral lists this ribosomal RNA (272 nucleotides) under Micrococcineae bacterium CL1.77. RNAcentral's name for it is "partial 16S ribosomal RNA". It matches the Rfam family "Bacterial small subunit ribosomal RNA", at positions 220 to 502 of the family's 1533-position model. The record is from RNAcentral. Lineage: Bacteria; Bacillati; Actinomycetota; Actinomycetes; Micrococcales.
UUUGGAUGGACUCGCGGCCUAUCAGCUUGUUGGUGAGGUAAUGGCUCCACCAAGGCCGACGACGGGUAGCCGGCCUGAGAGGGUGACCGGCCACACUGGGACUGAGACACGGCCCAGACUCCUACGGGAGGCAGCAGUGGGGAAUAUUGCACAAUGGGCGAAAGCCUGAUGCAGCGACGCCGCGUGAGGGAUGACGGCCUUCGGGUUGUAAACCUCUUUCAGUAGGGAAGAAGCGAAAGUGACGGUACCUGCAGAAGAAGCGCCGGCUAACU